CAGCCGCCGCGGUAAUACGGAGGGUGCAAGCGUUAAUCGGAAUUACUGGGCGUAAAGCGCACGCAGGCGGCUUGGUAAGUUAGAGGUGAAAGCCCAGGGCUCAACCCUGGAAUUGCCUUUAAGACUGCCGAGCUAGUAGGUGAGAGAGGUAAGUGGAAUUCCGAGUGUAGAGGUGAAAUUCGUAGAUAUUCGGAAGAACACCAGUGGCGAAGGCGGCUUACUGGCUCAUUCUAGACGCUGAGGUGCGAAAGCGUGGGGAGCAAACAGGAUUAGAGACCCGGGUAGUCCCUGUCUCUUAUAA
This 301-nucleotide ribosomal RNA is filed under the name uncultured bacterium. Its description in RNAcentral is "partial 16S ribosomal RNA". It matches the Rfam family "Bacterial small subunit ribosomal RNA", at positions 509 to 809 of the family's 1533-position model. The record is from RNAcentral.